GAAAGGGCGUAGGGUGGAUGCCUUGGCAUCAGUGGCCGAAGAAGGGCGCGGCAAGACUGCGAAAAGCCUCAGUGAGCUGUCUAGCUAGCCUAGCUGGGGAUUCCCGAAUGGGGCAACCCGCUUGGGUGAAACCCAAGCACUCGCUUUAAGUGAGAGGGAACCGGGUGAACUGAAACAUCUAAGUAACCCGAGGAAAAGAAAUCAAAAGAGAUUCCCUAAGUAGUGGCGAACGAAAGGGGAAAAGCCCAAACCAAGGUAGCUAAGUGGGCUUGGGUCCUAAGCUAUCUUGGGGUUGUAAGGCACAAGGAGCAGAUUCCAAGGUCUGCUACAGAGUUACAAAACUUCAUCUUAGCCAAAUGCUUCUGGAAAGGGCAACCAUAGAGGGUGAGAGUCCGGUAGGCGAAAAGAUUGAAGUCUCUGCUUGUGUUCUUGAGUACCACGGGACACGUGGAAUCCUGUGGGAAGCUGGGGGGACCACCCUCCAAGGCUAAAUACUGCUGAUGACCGAUAGUGAACCAGUACCGUGAGGGAAAGGUGAAAAGCACCCCGGGAGGGGAGUGAAAUAGAAUCUGAAACCUUACGCCUACAAGCAGUCAGAGGUUCGUUUCGGCGAACUAAUGGCGUGCCUAUUGGAGAAUGAGCCGACGAGUUGAUUUAUGUGGCUAGGUUAAGCAACUUAGUUGCGGAGCCGAAGCGAAAGCGAGUCCGAAUAGGGCGUAGCUCAGGUUAGCUGAGCCGGUCGCAUGGAUCAGACCCGAAACCGAGUGAUCUACCCAUGGCCAGAGUGAAGCUCAAGUAAGAUUGAGUGGAGGCUCGAACUUGUGAGUGAGGCAAAACUCUAAGAUGAGCUGUGGGUAGUGCAGGUGAAAUGCCAAUCGAACUCGGAGAUAGCUGGUUCUCCCCGAAAUGCAUUUAGGUGCAGCCUCAGGAAGUAAUUUAUGGAGGUAGAGCUCUGGAUGGGCUUGGGACCGUGAGGUUACCGUGUUCAACCAAACUGCAAAUGCCAUGAAUGUAAUCCUGGGAGUGAGACUGUGGAGGAUAAGCUCCAUAGUCGAGAGGGAAACAGCCCAGACCAUCAGCUAAGGUCCCUAAAUACAGGCUAAGUGGGAAAGGAAGUGAUGUUGCUGAAACAGCCAGGAGGUUGGCUCAGAAGCAGCCAUCCUUUAAAGAGUGCGUAAUAGCUCACUGGUCGAGUGACAUUGCACCGAUAAUUUAACGGGGCUCAAGUCUGUUACCGAAGCUAUGGAACCGCUGCUUCGCAACGGAAGCACUAAGUCCUAAUAUCUAAAUUCUAAACUUACUUUAGGAUUUAGAAUUUAGGAUUUCUAGCGCGGAGCGGUAGUUGGUAGGGGAGCGUUGUCAAAGCUGAGAAGCUGUGGCGUAAGUCAUGGUGGAGCUAUGACAAGUGAGAAUGUCGGCAUGAGUAGCGUAAAGGCAUGUGAAAACCAUGCCCACCGUAAACCUAAGGUUUCCUAUGCAACGUUAAUCGACAUAGGGUUAGUCAGGCCUAAGCCGAACCCUAAUGGGGUAGGCGAUGGACAAUGGGUUAAUAUUCCCAUACCGCUUAGCCUUUGUUUUAAGGCAAAGGGGGGACACAGGAAGGUAGGUUGAGCAUGCCUAAUGGACAGGGUGUGUUCCCGACCCGAGGUGUGUCAGGGCAGGCAAAUCCACUCUGACGUUAAGCUGAGGGGAGGGGGAAAUUGAGGGGCAACCCGAGAUAACUCAACUGAGCCUACACUGUCAAGAAAAGCCUCGUUGCUAAAAUGCUAAGCGCCUGUACCGCAAACCGCCACUGGUAGGUGGGGAUAAGAGUCCCAAGGUGUUCGAGAGAACCCUCGUUAAGGAACUCGGCAAUUUUACCCCGUAACUUUGGGAGAAGGGGGCCCGUCUGAGAAGGCGGGGGCACAAAAUUGGCCCAGGCGACUGUUUAACAAAAACAUAGGUCUCUGCUAAAGCGAAAAAGCUGAAAUAUAGAGGCUGAUACCUGCCCGGUGCCAGAAGGUUAAGGGGAGAGGUUAGGAUGGUAACAUUCGAAGCUUUGAACCGAAGCCCUGGUGAACGGCGGCCGUAACUAUAACGGUCCUAAGGUAGCGAAAUCCCUUGUCGGGUAAGUUCCGACCCGCACGAAAGGUGUAACGACCUGGGCGCUGUCUCAACGAGGGACUCGGUGAAAUUGAAAUGGGGGUGCAGAUGCCCUCUACCCGCGACAGGACAAAAAGACCCUGGCAGCUUUACUAUAGCUUGGCAUUGAGCUUAGGCUAAGCAUGUGUAGGAUAGGUGGGAGGCUAAGAAGCUGGGGCGUCAGCCUCGGUGGAGCCAACGGUGAAAUACCACUCUUGUUUAGUUUUGGUUCUAACCCACUCUGCGAGUGGGGACAGUGUCUGGUGGGUAGUUUGACUGGGGCGGUUGCCUCCUAAAAGGUAACGGAGGCGUCCAAAGGUUCCCUCAGCACGGAUGGAAACCGUGUGUUGAGUGCAUUGGCAUAAGGGAGCUUAACUGUGAGACCUACAAGUCGAGCAGAGACGAAAGUCGGGCAAAGUGAUCCUACGGUUCUAUGUGGAAAGGCCGUGGCUUAUCGGAUAAAAGCUACGCCAGGGAUAACAGGCUUAUCUUGCCCAAGAGUUCACAUCGACGGCAAGGUUUGGCACCUCGAUGUCGGCUCGUCGCAUCCUGGGGCUGGAGAAGGUCCCAAGGGUUGGGCUGUUCGCCCAUUAAAGCGGCACGCGAGCUGGGUUCAGACCGUCGUGAGACAGGUUGGUCUCUAUCCGUCGUGGGCGCCGGAGAUUUGAGGGGAGCUCUCCUUAGUACGAGAGGACCAGGAGGGACAGACCUCUGGUGUGCCAGUUGUUGCGCCAGCAGCAGUGCUGGGUAGCCAAGUCUGGAUGGGAUAAGCGCUGAAAGCAUCUAAGUGCGAAGCCCACCCCAAGAUAAGAUCUCCCACCGGAGCAUGGGUUCCCGUCAAAGUUUACUUUGAUGGGUGCUUAACCGGGUAAGGCCGCAAGUAGACUACUUGCUUGAUAGGCGGCAUGUGUAAGCGGAGUAAUCCGU
This 3048-nucleotide ribosomal RNA is filed under the name marine sediment metagenome. Its description in RNAcentral is "bacterial LSU rRNA". It matches the Rfam family "Bacterial large subunit ribosomal RNA". The record is from RNAcentral.